AAGGCUGCCCAAGGCCGCUUGAUGAAAGGAGAUAAACCGGGGACGGUUUCCAGGAUCCCCGCGGGCCGACCCAGGCAGCUCGGGAGCCGAGGCCGCCGGACGGGGAACACAAGCCUGACUGCGGGGUGGAGGCGCGAGGCCAGCCCGGGAUUGCGCCCUCUCCAGCGCGGUGAUUGCUGCGCGCCGGGGCGCACGAGCUGCGGUGAGGCACAUCUCCUGCAGAUCCAGUACGCGAUUGAAUCAGGCCAUCCUGUGAGGGAUGGGCGCGAAUUCCGGCUCCCGGUGGCUCGGUGGUGACCCGACGGCGAACGCCGGCCGGGCUUGGCCUGAGGUAUAUCCGCAAAGUAGAGAUGGCAUCAAACCCACAGGAACACCUGCUUCCACCUCUGGCUGUACUCAGCCUAGCCUGGCCUUGCGGGAAGUACAGCUACUGUAGGCUUACAGAUCUCAACUGUGCGAAUGUGUUCAUACAGGUCAGACGGCAGGGAAAGCGAUGCAGGCUGGAUGUCAAGGAUUCCUUUGACCAAGCUUUGCUGACCUCUAGGCCCAGCCAGGGUUUGCAGGAUCCACAGCCAUUGUUUCUUCCAAGCCCCCCAUACUGGGAGAAGCCAGCUUUGGCCUGACUUCCACCACCACCAUUUCUGCCCCACAGAAGGUUCCUAGUCAGGAAAACCUACAACCACAGGACACACCUGUGUGUUCCACAGCUCUGCCUUCUUCCACACCCAGCAGAAGAUUCCCUUCCUGGGAGGAAACCAGUAGGUGACACAAACACUUAUGCACCUUCUCCCUAAUUUCUGGGGAGAAUUGAGCCCUUGGUCUGGUUACCUGUAAUGUUUAUAAACCAAAUAAAAUGUUUCUCAGAGUUCCCACUGA
RNAcentral lists this long non-coding RNA (876 nucleotides) under Mus musculus (house mouse). RNAcentral describes it as "RIKEN cDNA 2900052L18 gene". Lineage: Eukaryota; Metazoa; Chordata; Mammalia; Rodentia; Muridae. The record is from RNAcentral.